RNAcentral lists this ribosomal RNA (733 nucleotides) under Plasmopara praetermissa. RNAcentral describes it as "LSU rRNA". It matches the Rfam family "Eukaryotic large subunit ribosomal RNA", at positions 72 to 635 of the family's 3401-position model. The record is from RNAcentral. Lineage: Eukaryota; Oomycota; Peronosporomycetes; Peronosporales; Peronosporaceae.
GGAUUCCCCUAGUAACGGCGAGUGAAGCGGGAUGAGCUCAAGCUUAAAAUCUCCGUGCAAAUUUUGCAUGGCGAAUUGUAGUCUAUAGAGGCGUGGUCAGUAUGAGCACUUGGGGUAAGUUCCUUGGAAGAGGACAGCAUGGAGGGUGAUACUCCCGUUCAUCCCUCAGUUGCUUAUGCGUACGACCCGUUUUCUUUGAGUCGCGUUGUUUGAGAAUGCAGCGCAAAGUAGGUGGUAAAUUCCAUCUAAAGCUAAAUAUUGGUGCGAGACCGAUAGCAUACAAGUACCGUGAGGGAAAGAUGAAAAGAACUUUGAAAAGAGAGUUAAAGAGUACCUGAAACUGCUGAAAGGGAACCAAAUCGUUUCCAGUGUCUAUAAUCCGUGGUAUAUUUCAUCGGCGAGUGUGUGCGUGCGUGUGCUGUUGCAGUGGCCUUUGGUUGCGCUCGGCGUGUGUGUUGUGUAUGCUUGCUGGUGCCCUGUGCUGCGGUGGGACGUCAAGGUCAGUUUGUAUGCUGCGGGAAAUAGUUACCGAGGAGGUAGGGCUUACGCUUGCGUUUGUCUGUUAUAUCUUGGUGGACGAGUUGUCGCGGUUGAGACUGAGGUGCCUACAACGUGCUUUUGAGUGGGCUUGGGUCUCUGUGUGCGCCGUGUGCGGAUAGCUUGCUAUGCGUUUGUGGUUGUGUGUGGAUUGAUGCGAGCCGUAACUUGUAGUCGUUCGGGACGUUGACGAAAU